UGCUGAGGAUUUAGCUCUUUACUGGAUUUUAUGUAGACACUGAAGUCCUUUACUCAUAUUUUAUUCAGUUAAUGUUCCCUGGAUGAGAAAGGACUGUGUCCAACAUUUAGGAGCUGUCUCUAUAAUAAGGAAAGAAGUAUUCUGAUGUGUGUGAUGCCAGUGAAACAUUGCAGGCAGUGGGUGUAGAGAGGCAGCUAGUCAAAUAAUUGUGGAGAGAGGUCUCCUUUUUGCCUGGCCACUCUGCUGCCACUCAGCCUAACUUUUGCAGGCACACCUUUGACUCUCCAUUGGAAGCUUUCAUUCAGCCCUCCAUUCAAACCCAUCUCUGCCUCAUUCAAUCAAAUAAACACUCCUUGUGAAUAAAAGACAUACAAAAGAAUACAUGUGCAAGUAGUUCUAUACUGAGCUGGUAGUCUCAGUCUUGCUUUAGCUACCUGGUGGAGGGACUAAUAAGAAAUCAAAUAAAACUCUUGGCAAAUCUUCUAGGAGAUGAGAUUUGGUAUUUCUUACUACAGUUUCCUUUAUCUUUCUUAUAGUGACUCCUUGUUGGCUUUAAAUCAGUGGUAUUUAACCUCUUAAUAGAACUGAAGAUGAUGGGCCUUUUCAUGUGUUAUCAAGCAGGAGGAAGUCUAAGGGAGCAAAUUAGGUCACUUGCUGAAGAAGUAACUGGUCAUCAAACCAAUGUAAUAACUAUUUUCAAGCUUUCUUUUAAAUUUGCCACUUUCCUUUCUCCCAUUAAAUCAGGCGGAAAAUAGGACUGUGUCAAAAAUUAGUUACUUCCUAAGAAAUUGUUCUUUCUUUCUUUAUUUAUUUUAUGCUCAUCAUAAAGGAGGAAAGGUGUUCUUUUACCUAGAAUAGUUUCACCACUUUGCCUGUAUGUGAAAAGCAGCUUUUGUCAGCAAAGUGUUUUCUGAUGGGUAAUGUAGUGAGUGAGUCAGUGUGGAAAGAGUUUGAAGGUCAAAGCUGUAAGAUUACUUGCUGUGUCACUUGGUCUCCUGAUCUGAAUAUUACAUGUGUCAUUUUCUGAGCUUAUUGUUGAAGAAGGAACACCAAGACAUGUCUGGGAG
RNAcentral lists this long non-coding RNA (1067 nucleotides) under Coturnix japonica (Japanese quail). RNAcentral describes it as "lncRNA (ENSCJPG00005008399.1)". Lineage: Eukaryota; Metazoa; Chordata; Aves; Galliformes; Phasianidae. The record is from RNAcentral.